Molecule: ribosomal RNA, 465 nt
Filed under: uncultured bacterium
Lineage: Bacteria
Description: partial 16S ribosomal RNA
Rfam family: Bacterial small subunit ribosomal RNA
Source: RNAcentral
GACGAACGCUGGCGGCGUGCUUAACACAUGCAAGUCGAACGGAAAGGCCCUGCUUGCAGGGUAUUCGAGUGGCGCAAGGGUGAGUAAAACGCGGGUGUACCGUCCUGCACAUUGGGAUAUGACUGGGGAAAUCGGUCUCAUAUCCGAUAGGAGCGAUCCUUAUGGUGAGGGGUGGAAAGAAUUUUUGGUGUAGGAUGGGCUCGCGGCCUAUCAGUUAGCUGGUGGGGGAAUGGGCUACCAAGGAGGGCUAGGGUUGCCGGCCUGAGUGGGUGGACGGGCACAUUGGGACUGGAAUACGGCCCAGACUCCUAACGGAGGCAGCAGGGGGGAAUUAUGCACAAUGGGGGCAAGCCUGAUGCAGGGACGCCGCGGGGGGGAUGACGGCCUUCGGGUUGUAAACUCCUUUCGCUAGGGACGAAGCUUUGUGUGACGGUACCGAGAUAAGAAGCACCGGCUAACUACGUG